Molecule: ribosomal RNA, 407 nt
Filed under: uncultured bacterium
Lineage: Bacteria
Description: partial 16S ribosomal RNA
Rfam family: Bacterial small subunit ribosomal RNA
Source: RNAcentral
AUUGAACGCUGGCGGCAGGCCUAACACAUGCAAGUCGAGCGGAGCGGCGGACGGGGGAGUAAUGCCUAGGAAUCGGACUGGUCGUGGGGGAUAAGGUCAGGAAACGGGCGCUAAUACCGCAUACUCUCGGAUGCGCCUAGGUCGGAUUAGCUAGUGGGUGGGGUAAGGGCAAACCAAGGCGACGAUCCGUAACUGGUCUGAGAGGAUGAUCAGUCACACUGGAACUGAGACACGGUCCAGACUCCUACGGGAGGCAGCAGUGGGGAAUAUUGGACAAUGGGCGAAAGCCUGAUCCAGCCAUGCCGCGUGUGUGAAGAAGGUCUUCGGAUUGUAAAGCACUUUAAGUUGGGAGGCGUUACCAACAGAAGAAGCACCGGCUAACUCCGUGCCAGCAGCCGCGGUAAUAC